UCCUAUGGGAGGCAGCAGUGUGGAAUCUUCCGCAAUGGACGAAAGUCUGACGGUGCAACGCCGCGUGUAUGAUGAAGGUCUUCGGAUUGUAAAGUACUGUCUUUGGGGAAGAAUGACUGAUUUAAAAUAUGAGUCAGUAUGACGGUACCCAAGGAGGAAGCCCCGGCUAACUACGUGCCAGCAGUCGCGGUAGUACGUAGGGGGCGAGCGUUGUCCGGAAUGAUUGGGCGUAAAGGGCGCUUAGGCGAAUUUUUAAGUCUGGGUGUAAGAUCAGGGCUCAACUCUGAGAGUGCAUCGGAAACUGGAGAUCUUGAGGACAGGAGAGGAUGUGGAAUUCCACGUGUAGCGGUGAAAUGCGUAUAUAUGUGGUGAACACCAGUGGCGAAGGCGACUUCCUGGACUGUAAGUGACGCUGAGGCGCGAAAGCGUGGGGAGCAAACAGGAUUAGAUACCCUGGUAGUCCACGCUGUAACGAUGAGUGCUAGGUGUAGAGGGUAUCGAUCCCUUCUGUGCCGCAGUUAACACAAUUAGCACUCCGCCUGGGGAGUACCCGCAAGGUUGA
Molecule: ribosomal RNA, 562 nt
Filed under: uncultured bacterium
Lineage: Bacteria
Description: bacterial SSU rRNA
Rfam family: Bacterial small subunit ribosomal RNA
Source: RNAcentral